RNAcentral lists this ribosomal RNA (254 nucleotides) under Staphylococcus sp. EG-SA-26. Its description in RNAcentral is "partial 23S ribosomal RNA". It matches the Rfam family "Bacterial large subunit ribosomal RNA", at positions 1273 to 1525 of the family's 2925-position model. Lineage: Bacteria; Bacillati; Bacillota; Bacilli; Caryophanales; Staphylococcaceae. The record is from RNAcentral.
GUGGAGCGCUUAGAAGUGAGAAUGCCGGUGUGAGUAGCGAAAGACGGGUGAGAAUCCCGUCCACCGAUUGACUAAGGUUUCCAGAGGAAGGCUCGUCCGCUCUGGGUUAGUCGGGUCCUAAGCUGAGGCCGACAGGCGUAGGCGAUGGAUAACAGGUUGAUAUUCCUGUACCACCUAUAAUCGUUUUAAUCGAUGGGGGGACGCAGUAGGAUAGGCGAAGCGUGCGAUUGGAUUGCACGUCUAAGCAGUAAGGC